RNAcentral lists this microRNA precursor (157 nucleotides) under Pelobates cultripes (western spadefoot toad). Lineage: Eukaryota; Metazoa; Chordata; Amphibia; Anura; Pelobatidae. The record is from RNAcentral.
GCAGACACAUUCCAGCCAAUCAGCAGCAGACCCUCCCUCCCAGACCCUCCCACCUCCUGGACAGCAUCCAUUGUGAAGCUGCAUUCUUAGUGAGCUGUCCAGAAGGUGGGAGGGUCUGGGAGGGAGGGUCUGCUGCUGAUUGGCUGGAAUGUGUCUG